Molecule: ribosomal RNA, 495 nt
Filed under: uncultured bacterium
Lineage: Bacteria
Description: partial 16S ribosomal RNA
Rfam family: Bacterial small subunit ribosomal RNA
Source: RNAcentral
GACGAACGCUGGCGGCGUGCCUAAUACAUGCAAGUAGAACGCUGAAGGAGGAGCUUGCUUCUCCGGAUGAGUUGCGAACGGGUGAGUAACGCGUAGGUAACCUGCCCGGUAGCGGGGGAUAACUAUUGGAAACGAUAGCUAAUACCGCAUAAGAGUAGAUGUCGCAUGACAUUUGCUUAAAAGGUGCAACUGCACCACUACCAGAUGGACCUGCGUUGUAUUAGCUAGUUGGUGAGGUAACGGCUCACCAAGGCAACGAUACAUAGCCGACCUGAGAGGGUGAUCGGCCAAACUGGGACUGAGACACGGCCCAGACUCCUACGGGAGGCAGCAGGAGGGAAUAUUCGGCAAUGGACGGAAGUCUGACCGAGCAACGCCGCGUGAGUGAAGAAGGUUUUCGGAUCGUAAAGCUCUGUUGUAAGAGAAGAACGAGUGUGAGAGUGGAAAGUUCACACUGUGACGGUAUCUUACCAGAAAGGGACGGCUAACUACGUG